AAAGAUUAAGCCAUGCAUGUCUAAGUACACGCCCCAGUACGGCGAAACCGCGAAUGGCUCAUUAAAUCACACCUAAUGUACUGGACGAUGACUGUUACUCGGAUAACUGCGGUAAUUCUGGAGCUAAUACGUGCGUGAUUGCCCUGACCUUGCGGAAAGGGUGCUUUUAUUAGAUCAAAACCAAACGGUACCCUUCGGGGCGCCGUUCCCUUGGUGACUCUGAAUAACUUUGAGCGGAUCGCACGGCUAAACGCCGGCGACGUGUCCUUCCAAGGUGUGCCCUAUCAACUGUCGACUGU
Molecule: ribosomal RNA, 299 nt
Filed under: Sinergasilus sp. SW-2015
Lineage: Eukaryota; Metazoa; Arthropoda; Copepoda; Poecilostomatoida; Ergasilidae
Description: partial 18S ribosomal RNA
Rfam family: Eukaryotic small subunit ribosomal RNA
Source: RNAcentral